This 164-nucleotide ribosomal RNA is filed under the name Festuca bromoides. RNAcentral's name for it is "5.8S ribosomal RNA". The stretch from base 1 to 145 matches the Rfam family "5.8S ribosomal RNA". From Rfam's summary of the family: 5.8S ribosomal RNA (5.8S rRNA) is a component of the large subunit of the eukaryotic ribosome. It is transcribed by RNA polymerase I as part of the 45S precursor that also contains 18S and 28S rRNA. The record is from RNAcentral. Lineage: Eukaryota; Viridiplantae; Streptophyta; Magnoliopsida; Poales; Poaceae.
ACGGAUAUCUCGGCUCUUGCAUCGAUGAAGAACGUAGCGAAAUGCGAUACCUGGUGUGAAUUGCAGAAUCCCGCGAACCAUCGAGUCUUUGAACGCAAGUUGCGCCCGAGGCCUUUUGGCCGAGGGCACGCCUGCCUGGGCGUCACGCCAAACACGCUCCCACC